RNAcentral lists this small RNA (77 nucleotides) under Salmonella enterica. RNAcentral describes it as "partial RtT sRNA". It matches the Rfam family "RtT RNA", at positions 1 to 76 of the family's 130-position model. Rfam says of the family: This family represents a bacterial cis-regulatory element known as RtT RNA. Lineage: Bacteria; Pseudomonadati; Pseudomonadota; Gammaproteobacteria; Enterobacterales; Enterobacteriaceae. RNAcentral also lists the same sequence under 1 other name. The record is from RNAcentral.
AUAUCUCUCCGUACGGGAAGGAUGAGAAGCUUCGAUUAAGGUUCGAUUCGAGCGCAGCGAGAAAGCGUUGCCGCAGG